CCCUGGUUUGCUCAGUUGGUAGAGCGCUCCACCUGUAAUGGAGAGGUCCCGGGUUCGAUACCCGGACCAGGCG
RNAcentral lists this transfer RNA (73 nucleotides) under Ixodes scapularis (black-legged tick). It matches the Rfam family "tRNA". From Rfam's summary of the family: Transfer RNA (tRNA) molecules are approximately 80 nucleotides in length. Their secondary structure includes four short double-helical elements and three loops (D, anti-codon, and T loops). Further hydrogen bonds mediate the characteristic L-shaped molecular structure. tRNAs have two regions of fundamental functional importance: the anti-codon, which is responsible for specific mRNA codon recognition, and the 3' end, to which the tRNAs corresponding amino acid is attached (by aminoacyl-tRNA synthetases). tRNAs cope with the degeneracy of the genetic code in two manners: having more than one tRNA (with a specific anti-codon) for a particular amino acid; and 'wobble' base-pairing, i.e. permitting non-standard base-pairing at the 3rd anti-codon position. Lineage: Eukaryota; Metazoa; Arthropoda; Arachnida; Ixodida; Ixodidae. The record is from Rfam by way of RNAcentral.